AAGUCGUAACAAGGUCUCCGUAGGUGAACCUGCGGAGGGAUCAUCAUAGAAAACAAUAUUCUAAACCCCAAGUGUUAGGAGAAAAGAGGGGAGGGGGAAAAAGGGGUAUUACUCUUUUUUUUUCUCUCCUUCUUUUUUCCUGAUGCUUCAAACAAACGAUCACAACUAAAGAGAGAAAAUUGUGUGGAUACCUGGGUUUUUUUUUCGAGGGGAAUUAAAAGUGCUUGCCUGAUAAUCUGAUUAUUGGAAUUGGAAAGAGAAAACAAUAUACAACUUUCAACAACGGAUCUCUUGGCUCUCA
Molecule: unclassified non-coding RNA, 301 nt
Filed under: fungal sp.
Lineage: Eukaryota; Fungi
Description: partial internal transcribed spacer region
Rfam family: Eukaryotic small subunit ribosomal RNA (bases 1-46)
Source: RNAcentral